UCUUCUAAGUCGAUCCAUCGAUAAUUGCAUUCAGAAGAAAGUCGAGUAAAAAAGAACAUCAGUCGAACUUUCAUUAUCUAUAAAGAUUUUUUUAACAUCAUAAUUAGCUAUUGUUGUCGAAACAACAACAGCAUCAUUAUGGAGAGUUUGAAUUCUCCAAACAUCCUCUUUCAAAAAAGUUAUUACAUUAUUGAGUCGUCGCCUUUUCGCCGACUCUUCUUCGAAAGUUGCCUCUCAGUUUGGUCACCC
RNAcentral lists this long non-coding RNA (249 nucleotides) under Elaeis guineensis (African oil palm). RNAcentral describes it as "long non-coding RNA (EGUI_LNC022179)". Lineage: Eukaryota; Viridiplantae; Streptophyta; Magnoliopsida; Arecales; Arecaceae. The record is from RNAcentral.